RNAcentral lists this ribosomal RNA (498 nucleotides) under uncultured bacterium. Its description in RNAcentral is "partial 16S ribosomal RNA". It matches the Rfam family "Bacterial small subunit ribosomal RNA", at positions 899 to 1397 of the family's 1533-position model. The record is from RNAcentral.
ACUCAAAGGAAUAGACGGGGGCCCGCACAAGCGGUGGAGCAUGUGGUUUAAUUCGAUGCAACGCGAAGAACCUUACCAAGGUUUGACAUCCCGAGAAGCCGGUGGAAACACUGGUGUGCCGCAAGGAACUCGGUGACAGGUGGUGCAUGGCUGUCGUCAGCUCGUGUCGUGAGAUGUUGGGUUAAGUCCCGCAACGAGCGCAACCCUCGAUGCUAGUUGCCAACGGGUAAAGCCGGGCACUCUAGCGUGACUGCCGGUGACAAACCGGAGGAAGGUGGGGAUGACGUCAAGUCAUCAUGCCCCUUAUGCCUUGGGCUACACACGUGCUACAAUGGCCGGGACAGUAGGUUGCAAUGCCGCGAGGUGGAGCCAAUCCCUAAACCCGGUCUCAGUUCGGAUUGCAGGCUGCAACUCGCCUGCAUGAAGGCGGAAUCGCUAGUAACCGCAGGUCAGCAUACUGCGGUGAAUACGUUCCCGGGCCUUGUACACACCGCCCGU